RNAcentral lists this ribosomal RNA (455 nucleotides) under Bifidobacterium bifidum. RNAcentral describes it as "bacterial SSU rRNA". It matches the Rfam family "Bacterial small subunit ribosomal RNA", at positions 219 to 684 of the family's 1533-position model. The record is from RNAcentral. Lineage: Bacteria; Bacillati; Actinomycetota; Actinomycetes; Bifidobacteriales; Bifidobacteriaceae.
CGUGGGANGGGGUCGCGUCCUAUCAGCUUGUUGGUGAGGUAACGGCUCACCAAGGCUUCGACGGGUAGCCGGCCUGAGAGGGCGACCGGCCACAUUGGGACUGAGAUACGGCCCAGACUCCUACGGGAGGCAGCAGUGGGGAAUAUUGCACAAUGGGCGCAAGCCUGAUGCAGCGACGCCGCGUGAGGGAUGGAGGCCUUCGGGUUGUAAACCUCUUUUGUUUGGGAGCAAGCCUUCGGGUGAGUGUACCUUUCNAAUAAGCGCCGGCUAACUACGUGCCAGCAGCCGCGGUAAUACGUAGGGCGCAAGCGUUAUCCGGAUUUAUUGGGCGUAAAGGGCUCGUAGGCGGCUCGUCGCGUCCGGUGUGAAAGUCCAUCGCUUAACGGUGGAUCUGCGCCGGGUACGGGCGGGCUGGAGUGCGGUAGGGGAGACUGGAAUUCCCGGUGUAACGGUGG